UCUUCAUUUCAUGCACUCUCUCAGCGGUCAGAGAUGCGAGAGAGCACGCGAAAUGAGGAGA
RNAcentral lists this microRNA precursor (61 nucleotides) under Pristionchus pacificus. Its description in RNAcentral is "mir-8364 microRNA precursor family". It matches the Rfam family "mir-8364 microRNA precursor family". The record is from Rfam by way of RNAcentral. Lineage: Eukaryota; Metazoa; Nematoda; Chromadorea; Rhabditida; Neodiplogasteridae.